GGGGCCAUAGCUCAGUCAGGUAGAGCAGACGCGUGAAACCGUUUUGUCGCCGGUUCAAAUCCGGCUGGCCCCA
RNAcentral lists this transfer RNA (73 nucleotides) under Candidatus Dadabacteria bacterium. Its description in RNAcentral is "tRNA-OTHER". It matches the Rfam family "tRNA". Rfam says of the family: Transfer RNA (tRNA) molecules are approximately 80 nucleotides in length. Their secondary structure includes four short double-helical elements and three loops (D, anti-codon, and T loops). Lineage: Bacteria; Pseudomonadati; Thermodesulfobacteriota; Candidatus Dadabacteria. The record is from RNAcentral.